Molecule: ribosomal RNA, 439 nt
Filed under: uncultured bacterium
Lineage: Bacteria
Description: partial 16S ribosomal RNA
Rfam family: Bacterial small subunit ribosomal RNA
Source: RNAcentral
CUACGGGGGGCUCCAGUGGGGAAUAUUGCACAAUGGACGAAAGUCUGAUGCAGCAACGCCGCGUGGAGGAUGACACAUUUCGGUGCGUAAACUCCUUUUAUAUAGGAAGAUAAUGACGGUACUAUAUGAAUAAGCGCCGGCUAACUCCGUGCCAGCAGCCGCGGUAAUACGGAGGGCGCAAGCGUUACUCGGAAUCACUGGGCGUAAAGAGCGUGUAGGCGGGUAGAUAAGUCAGGAGUGAAAUCCUACGGCUCAACCAUAGAACUGCUCUUGAAACUGUCUAUCUAGAAUAUGGGAGGGGUAGAUGGAAUUUCUGGUGUAGGGGUAAUAUCCGUAGAGAUCAGAAGGAAUACCGAUUGCGAAGGCGAUCUACUGGAACAUUAUUGACGCUGAGACGCGAAAGCGUGGGGAGCAAACAGGAUUAGAUACCCGCGUAGUC